CUGUAUGCACGCUAUCCGAAGUGUUACUGGGGGGAGUCUUUGGUUGGAAGAAGUUUAGACACAAAAUAAGGAUUCAUUGGUUUAUUUCUAUGGAGCAAGAGAAAAGUAUCUUCAACUUGUCUCCACCAAAGCUAAGUGUCAGUUAGUUACUGAUCCCUCUAUGUGCUCAGAGAUGGAAAUGGCAGAAAACUGGACUUGUCUGGCCCUGCACAGAGAUUAGGCAAACGUUUUCUCAUUCAAUUUCUGGUCUUUCUGAUACCCAGAGAAUCAUAAAAUUGAGAAGGUCAGAGGGGGUCUUUAACUCCCAGAUGAAAGGAGACAAAGAAGAAGGAACAUUUCUCCUUCCUAUCUGUGCAAUGACUCUGCACCCAGAACUCUCCCAAAUUGAUGUUUGCAUGUGUAAGGGGAGAAGCCUCUUUUACUGAAACUCGAGAAGACGUUGCUAUAAAAAAUAAUUAUCAUUUCCAUUCUGAAGCUCACUCUGUGGCCUAGUACACCUGACACAUCAGAGCACGUCAACAAGAGACUGCACACCCCAGCAAGCAUUCAUUUUAUUUCAAGCACGGGCCCUACAAGAGAAGAAGGUAUUGCUUGCUUCUGAUUUAGUUUGAUAAAAACCCAU
This is a long non-coding RNA of Chinchilla lanigera (long-tailed chinchilla), 622 nucleotides long. RefSeq lists it as uncharacterized. Lineage: Eukaryota; Metazoa; Chordata; Mammalia; Rodentia; Chinchillidae. The record is from RefSeq and is a predicted model, not a curated record. The transcript is spliced from 3 exons.